RNAcentral lists this ribosomal RNA (663 nucleotides) under Photobacterium damselae. RNAcentral's name for it is "bacterial SSU rRNA". It matches the Rfam family "Bacterial small subunit ribosomal RNA", at positions 56 to 699 of the family's 1533-position model. The record is from RNAcentral. Lineage: Bacteria; Pseudomonadati; Pseudomonadota; Gammaproteobacteria; Vibrionales; Vibrionaceae.
UGCAGUCGAGCGGCAGCGACUUAACUGAACCUUCGGGGAACGUUAAGGGCGGCGAGCGGCGGACGGGUGAGUAAUGCCUGGGAAUAUGCCCUGAUGUGGGGGAUAACUAUUGGAAACGAUAGCUAAUACCGCAUAAUCUCUUCGGAGCAAAGAGGGGGACCUUCGGGCCUCUCGCGUCAGGAUUAGCCCAGGUGGGAUUAGCUUGUUGGUGAGGUAAUGGCUCACCAAGGCAACGAUCCCUAGCUGGUCUGAGAGGAUGAUCAGCCACACUGGAACUGAGACACGGUCCAGACUCCUACGGGAGGCAGCAGUGGGGAAUAUUGCACAAUGGGGGAAACCCUGAUGCAGCCAUGCCGCGUGUGUGAAGAAGGCCUUCGGGUUGUAAAGCACUUUCAGUAGGGAGGAAGGUAGUGUAGUUAACACCUGCAUUAUUUGACGUUACCUACAGAAGAAGCACCGGCUAACUCCGUGCCAGCAGCCGCGGUAAUACGGAGGGUGCGAGCGUUAAUCGGAAUUACUGGGCGUAAAGCGCAUGCAGGCGGCCUGUUAAGUCAGAUGUGAAAGCCCGGGGCUUAACCUCGGAAUUGCAUUUGAAACUGGCAGGCUAGAGUCUUGUAGAGGGGGGUAGAAUUUCAGGUGUAGCGGUGAAAUGCGUAGAGAUCU